RNAcentral lists this unclassified non-coding RNA (400 nucleotides) under soil metagenome. Its description in RNAcentral is "partial contains 5.8S ribosomal RNA, internal transcribed spacer 2, and large subunit ribosomal RNA". The stretch from base 1 to 122 matches the Rfam family "5.8S ribosomal RNA", at positions 35 to 154 of the family's 154-position model. The record is from RNAcentral.
GAUGAAGAACGUAGUGAAAUGCGAUACUUGGUGUGAAUUGCAGAAUCCCGUGAACCAUCGAGUCUUUGAACGCAAGUUGCGCCUCAAGCCAUUAGGUUGAGGGCACGUCUGCCUGGGCGUCACAUAUCGUUGCCUGAUGCCAGUUUCCUCGUGAUGGGUGACUGUGCAGGGCGAAUGAUGGCUUCCCGUGAGCAUUGUUGCCUCAUGGUUGGUUGAAAAUUGAGUCCUUGGUAGGGAGCGCCGUGAUAGAUGGUGGUUGAGUGACGAACGAGUCCCAAUCAUGUGAGACCCCUACCGAAUUUGGCCUUCAUGACCCACAUGCGUCUUUGGAACGCUCAUGACGAGACCUCAGGUCAGGCGGGGCUACCCGCUGAGUUUAAGCAUAUCAAUAAGCGGAGGA